AUUAUAUCUUAUUGACCAUAAUUACUUCUCUGUAAUUUAAUAUUAAUUUAAUCGUGUCGCUACAUAUAUAAUUUGAUAUUUACAUCUUUAAACGGUUCUCAAAUCCUGUUCACCAGAUGCUAUUCGAACAUAUGGUGUGCCACUUUUCAGAAAUCUCGAGGAACCGCUAUGCAACGCGAUGUUUACGAUAUCGACUUCGUAGUCGUAAGUUUAUAAUAUAAGUAUAUGCUUUCAGAAAUCGUUUUUUUUAUCUUCAAUGUGUAUGGACAAUUAUCGAGCUUGCCAAUGAUUACAUUAUAUCUUGACCUUCAUCAACAUGCUGUUGGAUAUCAUCAGCCUUCGGAUAAAUUGCUCUUACGUUCUCUAACUGAUUAACAGUGAAAGUAUUAGUUUCUGGCUUAGAGAAUAGAAAAAAAUGGGAAAAAUUUCUACCAAUCAAGAUCUUCUAAAAUAAUUAAUCAUAUUCUCAUUCGAGAUAUUUUAGAAAAAAUAUUCAAGAGUAUUAAAAUUUGUCUUCAAGUCCAUUCGAUCAAGAUUUAGAUGGACAAUAAUGCGUGAAUAUAUCCCGCCCAUGAUAGCAAAAACAGGUACCGUUAGCGGAUUAUUAAUAUUCAUGAUGUCAGCGAUACGCUUGGGCAUUGCAAUACAAGGUUUCCUUGUACUCUAUUCAUCGAACGUGUCUGUUUCUCGGAAAAACGAGCAACUGCGUAUCGGUAUGCAAGCAAUAAUGCAAUACGAUUGAUCGUUGUGCAAUGCUUCACCGCCACCGAUACUGUUUCAAAACGUGUAUUAGCGCCGAGUGAUCGAAAAAUUUUCUAACAAUCCUUAUUCUCUUCUAGAAAUUAAAAAUUAUUAUAAAAUUUUUUGUAUAAAUAUUGUUUUACAAUUAAUUUCUUUUUCUUUUUAACUUUUAUUUUAUUACACGUACAUAUAGUAUAAAUGUAUCUAAUGCACCGUUUCAUCACUUCCUCUUUCAAAUUUCCCUCGUAAUUAUUUGCCUCUAUUAUACAAACGCAUUCGCGCAUGCGCGCACAUAGUCAACAUGGUGUCGAAAACGCUUUCACGUUCCAACACCUGCUAAUUACUUUGGAACGCUGGGAAUAUUGAUGGCAGUGUUUAGACGAGAAAUUGUUACUCGACCGUCAUUGUCAUCCCCGUAAUUACCGGUCACGGAAUGAUUAUUGACUCGCCACGAUGCUGAUUACAACGACGGGCAGCGACAGUGUUCAUUGCGUGCCGCCGGCCUAUUAAUACGUUUCUUUUGCGAGCGUGUUGUCGAGGUCAUGGAUGGAACAGAGAGAAACAUCGACACUCUUAUAUACCACACCGCAUCGUGGAUCUUCAUUUUGAAUUAUGCCUUAUUGUGCCUCGUCUCGAAUCGCGACUGGCAUUGUGCUAAGGAUACGUGGACGUGAUUGUUUGCCUUUGACUCGAGUCACACCCUGGGUCAAUAUAUUCCUCGUGGCGAGUGUAGUGCGGCCAUUGCUGGCACACGGAAGCAUAUCGUCUAUCGCUUCGAGACGGAUGACCUUCCGAAGGUCAGCGCCUUUACUCCUUGAAGCCAUGCAGUUACACGCAAUAGUAUUCCGUCAAUAAUCCUGUACGUGUAACAAAUUGAAUGCAUUUAAUUAAGUUUCGGAUGGCACGGCAGCAUCAGUGGAAUAAUAUAAAGUAUGGACGGAUGGUAAUGCAAAUAAUUAACAACUGUUGAAGUUAUUUUCUCAGUCUGAUGAAUGGGACAAGUCUAAGAGUAGAAAAAGGAAAGUGUAUUUUUAAUGUAUUAAUUGGAUAGGUUGCAAUUAUCAAAAAUGAUCGAGAUGAUUGAUCGAAACCUACUUGUCAAUCCGUCCUUGCAAAAGAUCCCUCGGCUAGCCUCAAGGAUGACCAGUAAUAAUUCUUCAGGAACUAGAAUAUCGAUCCUGCCGCCUAACGACGUGUCAUUCCAAACAGAUCCCACGAUCCCGAUGCUUACGUAAAUAAUUGCCGUUCCAGUUUGUUUGCACGUCGCAUUUGCACGCUUAAGACUUGAUUGCAUCGUUGACGGCGACGUUACGGAACGCAGCCCUACUCCAUGUUAAAAGGCAAUCCCAUCCAGAAGUGGUACAGUGUCGACCUUGUUUUGCAACAAUGUUAUGGAUGUACCACAUGUUAUUACAAGGAAUGUGCAAUGUCGAAAAGAGAAUGGUAAUAAUUUUCGUGGCGAUGCCAGGAACACGACUCGUUCCUUCUUUUCUGGAAGCCGUAUAGGGGAAUGAAAUCCAAUUCCAAUUAAUUUCUUCUUGACUGAAUGGCAACUUGUUUACAAUUUUAAAAUCGGUAUCCUUAAAAAUAACUCUCUUCAUUGUUCUUCUUCUCCAACAACAUCAUUCCUCAUCAGUCGAAUCGUCAUGCCAUCUACCAAUGAAACACGCGCUGACUCUCAAUCACUUUGGUCCGCAUUGAGAAGGAAAAAGGAAAAAAAAAAAAGGAUCGUUCGAGACGCGCCACGGUGGUCAUUAUCAUCAUCAAUCGACCUAUAAAUAAUCAUGAGCCUCUGUAAAGGGAAGCGACUUAAUGAAAAUGUCAAUGACGCCGCAAAAACGAUCCUCUUCGUUCUGGCAUGGCGUUAUUCAAUGCUCGUACGCGGCCGCGGUCACAGGCGCGACUUCUUGUCUCUCGGUUGCACGCUCUUUUUCACUCGGUUGAUUUGCGCGCUGAGCAUUAUUCGUCAUUGCGGACACCUCGAUCACACCCUGCAUAAAGAAACUUGCCAUUCCGCGUUUCGAGACCGGAGAAUCGCGGUUUUGAUCCUCAUUUCCGUUUCGUCCGCCAGAUGGCUCAAUUUUUCCGCCGCCAUAUUGCCGUCCGCCGCUUGUCCACGCCGUUUUCCCCUCUGCUUUUUAUCCCGUGCUAUUUUUUACUCGUUGCUAUUUUCUUUCGAUUUUUCUUUUCGUCCUUUUUUCCCCCCCUUCCUUCGUUAUUGCUUUAUUUCGUUUGUUCGAUAUGUUUAAAUGAAUUGGAAGCGUGAAUCUCGUUAUCGUCUUGAUUUUUAUUGCGGUUAGGAAUUAUUGGAGGAAAGAUGUUGGGCUUGAUUCGAACGAUUAGAAAUAAUCUAAAGUUGGCUCAAUCAAAACGAUAUUGUCGAUAACCGUUAAUGAAAUUAUUUUAAAUUAGGAAAUAAUUAUUGUCGAUGACAGGAAAAUUUGUUUGCUUUCGACCAUAGCGUGUUGAUUGAAGAACGAGAUAGAAUUCAAUUCACAGUUUGAAAAAUUAUAGGGAUGCUUUCGUAUCUUACUUACUUAUUAACUUGGCAAUAAUUAACUUAUAGAGUUUUAUAAUUUAUCAAUUAAAAAUCUCUCUCGUGACACAUUCUACUCUUUUAUAAUCUAUAAUUAUUAGGUAUUUAAAAACACUUGCCAAUUUACUCUCUGUAACAGGGACGGGACAAGCGGGAAGCGAGUUAUAUUCGUAGCGGUACUUCUAGUUCUCGCCACCAUGGGGUUUCUAGCGUGACAACGGAACCUCUGUUUCUUGCGAUUCCUAUAUCCAAUCAUAUAUCCAUCAGAAUAAAUCAUUUCCUUAUAAGUUAAAUAAAA
Long non-coding RNA from Apis dorsata (giant honeybee), 3575 nucleotides. RefSeq lists it as uncharacterized. The transcript is spliced from 6 exons. The record is from RefSeq and is a predicted model, not a curated record. NCBI's taxonomy places the organism in Eukaryota, Metazoa, Arthropoda, Insecta, Hymenoptera, Apidae.